RNAcentral lists this ribosomal RNA (114 nucleotides) under uncultured bacterium. RNAcentral describes it as "partial 16S ribosomal RNA". It matches the Rfam family "Bacterial small subunit ribosomal RNA", at positions 1369 to 1482 of the family's 1533-position model. The record is from RNAcentral.
CGUUCCCGGGCCUUGUACACACCGCCCGUCACACCACGAGAGUUUGUAACACCCGAAGUCGGUGGAGUAACCGUAAGGAGUUAGCCGCCUAAGGUGGGACAGAUGAUUGGGGUG